AGGAACUUAGGGCUACAUUAAACCAAAGACCUUCAAAGCCUUUAAUAAGAGUACCCACCCUCUUAGUUCCUG
RNAcentral lists this transfer RNA (72 nucleotides) under Acanthosaura lepidogaster. RNAcentral describes it as "tRNA-Trp". Lineage: Eukaryota; Metazoa; Chordata; Lepidosauria; Squamata; Agamidae. The record is from RNAcentral.